CAAGCGCGGCGUACCAUGCAGUCGAGCGGUAACACAGGUAGCUUGCUCCUGGGUGACGAGCGGCGGACGGGUGAGUAAUGUCUGGGAAACUGCCUGAUGGAGGGGGAUAACUACUGGAAACGGUAGCUAAUACCGCAUAACGUCGCAAGACCAAAGAGGGGGACCUUCGGGCCUCUUGCCAUCAGAUGUGCCCAGAUGGGAUUAGCUAGUAGGUGGGGUAAUGGCUCACCUAGGCGACGAUCCCUAGCUGGUCUGAGAGGAUGACCAGCCACACUGGAACUGAGACACGGUCCAGACUCCUACGGGAGGCAGCAGUGGGGAAUAUUGCACAAUGGGCGCAAGCCUGAUGCAGCCAUGCCGCGUGUAUGAAGAAGGCCUUCGGGUUGUAAAGUACUUUCAGCGAGGAGGAAGGCAUCAAGGUUAAUAACCUUGGUGAUUGACGUUACUCGCAGAAGAAGCACCGGCUAACUCCGUGCCAGCAGCCGCGGUAAUACGGAGGGUGCAAGCGUUAAUCGGAAUUACUGGGCGUAAAGCGCACGCAGGCGGUCUGUCAAGUCGGAUGUGAAAUCCCCGGGCUCAACCUGGGAACUGCAUUCGAAACUGGCAGGCUAGAGUCUUGUAGAGGGGGGUAGAAUUCCAGGUGUAGCGGUGAAAUGCGUAGAGAUCUGGAGGAAUACCGGUGGCGAAAGCGGCCCCCUGGACAAAGACUGACGCUCACGUGCGAAAGCGUGGGGAGCAAACAGGAUUAGAUACCCUGGUAGUCCACGCCGUAAACGAUGUCGACUUGGAGGCUGUUCCCUUGAGGAGUGGCUUCCGGAGCUAACGCGUUAAGUCGACCGCCUGGGGAGUACGGCCGCAAGGUUAAAACUCAAUGAAUUGACCGGGGGGCCCGCACCAAGCGGUGGGAGCAUGUGGGUUUAAAUUCGAUGCACGCCGCAGGAACCUUAUCCUACUUCUCUGACAUCUACAGAACCUUUUCCAGAGAUGCGUUUUGUGGUCCUUCUCGGAACUCCUGAAAACAAGUGCUUGCAUGGGCUGUCGUCAGCUCCUGGUUGGUGGAAAUGGUGAGGUUAAAUUCCGCAACGAGCGCUAUCCUAUCAUGGUGCCAGCGGUUCGGCCGGAACUCGAAGAGAACUGUCAUGGAUAACCUCGGAGGAAAAGUGGGGGGAU
RNAcentral lists this ribosomal RNA (1170 nucleotides) under Pantoea agglomerans. Its description in RNAcentral is "bacterial SSU rRNA". It matches the Rfam family "Bacterial small subunit ribosomal RNA", at positions 36 to 1183 of the family's 1533-position model. Lineage: Bacteria; Pseudomonadati; Pseudomonadota; Gammaproteobacteria; Enterobacterales; Erwiniaceae. The record is from RNAcentral.